AGUGAACGCUGGCGGUAGGCCUAACACAUGCAAGUCGAACGGCAGCACAGUAAGAGCUUGCUCUUACGGGUGGCGAGUGGCGGACGGGUGAGGAAUACAUCGGAAUCUACUUUUUCGUGGGGGAUAACGUAGGGAAACUUACGCUAAUACCGCAUACGACCUACGGGUGAAAGCAGGGGAUCUUCGGACCUUGCGCGAUUGAAUGAGCCGAUGCCGGAUUAGCUAGUUGGCGGGGUAAAGGCCCACCAAGGCGACGAUCCGUAGCUGGUCUGAGAGGAUGAUCAGCCACACUGGAACUGAGACACGGUCCAGACUCCUACGGGAGGCAGCAGUGGGGAAUAUUGGACAAUGGGCGCAAGCCUGAUCCAGCCAUACCGCGUGGGUGAAGAAGGCCUUCGGGUUGUAAAGCCCUUUUAUUGGGGAAGAAAAGCAGCAGGUUAAUACCCCGCUGUUCUGACGGUACCCAAAGAAUAAGCACCGGCUAACUUCGUG
Molecule: ribosomal RNA, 492 nt
Filed under: uncultured bacterium
Lineage: Bacteria
Description: partial 16S ribosomal RNA
Rfam family: Bacterial small subunit ribosomal RNA
Source: RNAcentral